Molecule: long non-coding RNA, 463 nt
Filed under: Mus caroli (Ryukyu mouse)
Lineage: Eukaryota; Metazoa; Chordata; Mammalia; Rodentia; Muridae
Description: lncRNA (MGP_CAROLIEiJ_G0006066.1)
Source: RNAcentral
UUUUUCUUCUAGAAUGUACCCUGUGUUAAGGAAUGCCUACCAUCUCAGAAUGUCAUCCCGUGUUGAUGGUUCUUGCUGUUUGCCUGUGCAGAGCGCCCAGCCUCAUGAACGUCUCACUACCAACUCGUAUUUGCUACAGGUGGUGGCGGCAAGGAAAAACAAAUCACCACAAUGAACAACAACAUCAUCCCUGCCCUGAAAAGGAUCGUAAGCCUCUCACCAGAUGCUGUGAAUCCCGAACUCACAGAUUCCCAUAAGCAGAGGAUCUACUUUAACACGUCCCGAGGGUGGGUUGACAUACGAACCACACAGCCAAACAACUGAAGGCAGCUGAAGAAAACGCCAAUGAAGAGAGUUCUGCAGAACAUGUUCACUUAGUGGAAACAGUAAGACGUGUGCGUGCCCACAGACACACGCAGAAGGACUGGCAUCACCAAAAACAAUAAACCCUAAAGUCAGAUCC